This 736-nucleotide small RNA is filed under the name Pan troglodytes (chimpanzee). Its description in RNAcentral is "retained intron". The record is from RNAcentral. Lineage: Eukaryota; Metazoa; Chordata; Mammalia; Primates; Hominidae.
GCCUGGCUCCCGUGAGCCCCCGACCCUCUCAUGACCUCUGGACACUGGUUCCUGGUUGCAGACCUGAGGCAGAGCUGCGAAGUCCUGCCUCCCAGCCUGCCUCACCCUUCAGGCUCCUCUUCCAGCCGUGCUGGGAUUUCUCCCUAGCUGGGGGUCUUGGGCAGGGGGGUGUGCUUCCCUGGUUCUCUCCCACCCCGGUCCCGCUCUGCCUCAGGUGGUGUCUCCGCUGACGGAGGCUGUGCUCGGGGAGACGCUGCUGACGGUGACUGAGGAGAAGGUCAGCAUCACACAGCUUCAGGCCCAGGUGGUGGCCAGCCUGGCCCUCUCCCUGCGGCCCAGCCCUGGGAGCAGCCACACCAUCCUAGCCACCACAGCUGCCCAGCAGACCUUGAGCUUCCUCAAGCAGGAAGCCCUACUGAGCCUCUGGCUCUCCUACAGUGAUGGCACCACAGCCCCACUCUCCCUCUACAGCCCCCGAGACUAUGGACUGCUAGUGAGCAGCCUGGAUGAGCAUGUGGCCACUGUGACCCAGGACCGGGCCUUCCCUCUGGUAGUGGCUGAGGCCGAGGGGUCAGGGGAGCUGCUUCGCGCAGAGCUAACCAUCGCUGAGAGCUGCCAGAAAACCAAACGCAAGAGUGUGCUCGCCACGACCCCUGUGGGCCUGCGGGUGCACUUUGGGAGGGACGAGGAGGACCCCACUUAUGACUACCCGGGCCCCAGCCAACCAGGGCCCGGC